Molecule: non-coding RNA, 530 nt
Organism: Peromyscus maniculatus bairdii (prairie deer mouse)
Lineage: Eukaryota; Metazoa; Chordata; Mammalia; Rodentia; Cricetidae
Source: RefSeq, a predicted model, not a curated record
UCUCUUCAGAUCGUAUAAAUCUUUCGCCUUUUACUAAAGAUUUCCGUGGAGAGGAACAAUUCUGAGUCUUAAACCAAAUUUUUUGAGGCCUUGCUCUGGCGAGGCUAACAACACUGUUCAAAAAGUAGAGUGUCACUUAUAGUUGACUAGGAUGCUAUGUGUUCUCCAUCAUGAGAUCACUAUUGGGGUCGUUUUAGUCUCAGCUUUUCAAGUGUUAGCUUCUUCAAAAGCUGUAAAUUUGAAAUGCAAGCGCCCCAGCAGGCUGACUCCAGCGUGUGACGAGUUGAGAGUUGACAAGAACAUCACAGGACAACAUGUACCACAGUGCCUUAUUUUGGGGGAUCCCCAGCUGGUCUGAUGAAUUUGUAUGAUCAAUGCCUUCUCGUGACUGUAAACUACCACAGUACUGUCAUCUGUUUCUAGAUUGUUCUCCAGCAAUAAAAACUUUAACGAGAGUCAAAAUUAUGCGGUUGUUCUGUCAUAUAAAACGCUUCUAAAGCCUAAAGAAAUAAGGACUGCAUGAUAAGCAA